CAAUAGCGUAUAUUAAAGUUGUUGCAGUUAAAAAGCUCGUAGUUGGAUUUCGGGGUGGCCUGCCUGGUCCACCGCAAGGUGAGUACUGGUCAGCCGCCCUUCCUCUCGAAAGCCCCGACUGCUCUUCAUUGCAGUGGUCGGGUAGUUCGGGACGUUUACUUUGAAAAAAUUAGAGUGUUCAAGGCAGGCUCUCGCCUGAAUACAUUGGCAUGGAAUAAUGGAAGAGGACCUCGGUCCUAUUUUGUUGGUUUCUAGGGCCGAAGUAAUGAUUAAGAGGGACAGUUGGGGGCAUUCGUAUUUAAUUGUCAGAGGUGAAAUUCUUGGAUUUAUGAAAGACGAACUAGUGCGAAAGCAUUUGCCAAGGAUGUUUUCAUUAA
RNAcentral lists this ribosomal RNA (377 nucleotides) under uncultured eukaryote. RNAcentral describes it as "partial 18S ribosomal RNA". It matches the Rfam family "Eukaryotic small subunit ribosomal RNA", at positions 592 to 976 of the family's 1831-position model. The record is from RNAcentral.